GUUGUAUGGUUAAGUGACUAAGCGUACACGGUGGAUGCCUUGGCAGUUGGAGGCGAUGAAGGACGUAUUAACUUGCGAUAAGCCUAGUCAAGCUAGUAAAAAGCACUUGAGACUAGGAUUUCCGAAUGGGGAAACCCACCUGCUUGCAGGUAUCGUUAACUGAAUACAUAGGUUAACGAGGCGAACGCGGAGAACUGAAACAUCUAAGUACCCGUAGGAAAAGAAAUCAACCGAGAUUCCGAUAGUAGCGGCGAGCGAAAUCGGAACAGCCCUUAAGCUUAUUAUGUGUUAAUGGAAGGCUCUGGAAAGUGCCACGAUACAGGGUGAUAGUCCCGUACAUGAAAACGCAUUUUAAGUGAAAUCGAGUAGGUCGGAGCACGUGAAACUUUGACUGAAUAUAGGUGGACCAUCAUCUAAGGCUAAAUACUCCCAACUGACCGAUAGUGAACCAGUACCGUGAGGGAAAGGCGAAAAGAACCCCUGUGAGGGGAGUGAAAUAGAACC
This is a ribosomal RNA of 504 nucleotides. It matches the Rfam family "Bacterial large subunit ribosomal RNA", at positions 1 to 550 of the family's 2925-position model.